UAAUAAGUGUUUUAUGGCACUUUUUAAAAUCCAUAUCCACCUUGUGUGCAAUGUUGAAAAUCACCUUUCGAGGUGGUUUUUUUUCUUAAUAUCAACCAAUCUUAAUUAAUUUGUCUUAAUACCUUGAAUUUACUUAAUUCAAAAUA
This 146-nucleotide unclassified non-coding RNA is filed under the name uncultured Mucoromycotina. RNAcentral describes it as "sequence contains ITS1". Lineage: Eukaryota; Fungi. The record is from RNAcentral.